RNAcentral lists this ribosomal RNA (465 nucleotides) under uncultured bacterium. RNAcentral describes it as "partial 16S ribosomal RNA". It matches the Rfam family "Bacterial small subunit ribosomal RNA", at positions 338 to 795 of the family's 1533-position model. The record is from RNAcentral.
CCUACGGGUGGCAGCAGUGGGGAAUAUUGCGCAAUGGGCGAAAGCCUGACGCAGCGACGCCGCGUGAGGGAUGAAGGUCUUCGGAUCGUAAACCUCUGUCAGCAGGGAAGAACGGUCACUGUGCUAAUCAGCAGUGAAUUGACGGUACCUGCAAAGGAAGCACCGGCUAACUCCGUGCCAGCAGCCGCGGUAAUACGGAGGGUGCGAGCGUUGAUCGGAAUUACUGGGCGUAAAGCGCUCGUAGGCGGUAUGUCAAGUCAAGGGUGAAAUCCCCGCGCUCAACGUGGGAACUGCCUUUGAAACUGGCAAACUGGAGUGUGUGAGAGGAUAGUGGAAUGCCAGGUGUAGGAGUGAAAUGCGUAGAUAUCUGGAGGAACAUCAGUGGCGAAGGCGACGAUCUGGCACAUAACUGACGCUGAGGAGCGAAAGCGUGGGUAGCAAACAGGAUUAGAUACCCGAGUAGUC